GGACCCGCACAAGUAGUGGAGCAUGUGGUUUAAUUCGAAGAUACGCGCAGAACCUUACCAACACUUGACAUGUUCGUCGCGACUUUAAGAGAUUAAAGUUUUCGGUUCGGCCGGACGAAACACAGGUGCUGCAUGGCUGUCGUCAGCUCGUGUCGUGAGAUGUUGGGUUAAGUCCCGCAACGAGCGCAACCCUCACUUUUAGUUGCCAUCAUUAAGUUGGGCACUCUGAAAGAACUGCCAGUGAUAAGCUGGAGGAAGGUGGGGAUGACGUCAAGUCCUCAUGGCCCUUACGUGUUGGGCUACACACGUGCUACAAUGGUAUCUACAACAGGAAGCAAAACGGCAACGUUAAGCAAAUCCUAAAAAGAUAUCUCAGUUCGGAUUGCACUCUGCAACUCGAGUGCAUGAAGCUGGAAUUACUAGUAAUCGU
Molecule: ribosomal RNA, 430 nt
Filed under: uncultured bacterium
Lineage: Bacteria
Description: bacterial SSU rRNA
Rfam family: Bacterial small subunit ribosomal RNA
Source: RNAcentral